AUAUCUUAGAAAUUUUAUAAUAUAAAUCUUAUUCUAAGCUAAGAAAUGGAGAGAGAUGAUAAACUGUGUGAUAUUUAGAGUUAUUUACUCAAGUUCCUGUUGCUUGUGAAAAUAGGUAAAAUUUAUAUGAAGUAAAAUUCAUCUUCCCAAGUCAAGGGUUUUUGAUCUGCUCUGCUCCACAUAAAGAUGAAUAAAAUUAAGAAACACUUGAUACUUUACAAUUUAUUAAGUAUGUUGAUUUUUCCCACAAUGACAUGUCUCUAAUAUUCCAAAUUUUGAUAUUCCCUGCCCCAGUACAAAAAUGUGGUGUAAGAGCCUGGAGAUCAUGUUUAUAUAUAUUGAAAAUGCAUUAAAUGUUAAAACAUCUCCACCACAGCUGAACACAGAUUAUGGUGUCCUGUUCCAAAAUUGUGAAUUUAACGGUGUAUAUCAUGAGAGUUUCGGUCUCCAGAACGAGGUUAUAAGGAUUAUAUAAAGCUAGUGAAAAUACAGACAUUGGAAUCUGUUAAGCUGUGUUUACUCUUUAAUAUGAAGCUCAAGAACUGGAUGUGUAGUGAAAAUCAGCAUGGACGCCUCUUCCAUUAUUGUGAAACUCGUGGCCCCAGGAUCAGAAAUUCAUUUCCCUAGGAAAGAAAAUACAGGGGGUGAUGACUGUACCGAAUCAUUGACUGAAAUUCCAUCAUUUACAGACAGAUUGUGUAUUAUCACAGACAGGAGAGUAUGCCCCCCGCAGCAUACACAGACAGGAGAGUAUGCCCCCCGCAGCAUAUACAGACAGGAGAGUGCCCCUGCAGCAUACACAGACAGGAGAGUAUGCCCCCGUAGCAUACACAGAGAAGUCCAAUCAUUUUUAUGGUUGUAAAUUUUUUAAUUUAAUCGUGUUACUUAUGUCUCCCCUAUUCCAGGGAGAGACAUAUAUAAUUAUAUAUAUUGUGUUUGUACUGUCUGUCCAUCUGUCUGUCACAAAAUCCAAAAUCUUGUGAAUGCUUUUUCUCCUGUAUGGGUUAUCUGAUAAACUUGAAACUUUGUACAAUGCUUCGUUGCCAUUUGUAGAUGUGCAUAUUGGUAGGAUGUGGGGAUCCAAAUAUUUUCAAUGAAGUUAAGGCCAAUUAAAAUUAAUUGAUAGAUUAUCAUCCCGGCCUGCCCCUCAAAAAAGGGCCCGCUCCGGUUUUUUUCAUUUUAGCAAAAAUUACGAUUUCCAACAAACUUGCUUCCCAGUGACAUGAGUGAAUGAUUAAAGUCACAGGAUGUUGGUUUUAUAUCUUUUACUAAGGAUUUUUUGAAUGUUAACUUGAUUAACACUUUGUGUGAUGCCUUUUGUCAUUAAUUUUUUUUCCGGGGAAAUAAAAAUAAAAAAAUAAAAAUCCUCCCUCCUGCCCCAUAUUUUUUGUGACCCCGGAUGAUAAUCUACUAAUUAAGUUGAAUUGGCCUAAAAGUGGAUCUAAGAGGGUUGGAGGAUGUAAAAUACAUUGUGAUCACUUCUUUUCCUUUAUGGCUUAUUGGAUAGCCUUGAAACUUUGUACAAUGCUUCAAUUCAUAUUGUCAGGAAAGGAGAAUACAUCACAACAGUCAUUAUUUUUGUAUAGUAUACAACAAUGACAUUGGUCACAUCAAUGUUCGAAUCUUUUCUCCAUCUUUUUCUUAAAGUACAGUUCAUAAAUGUUGAUAUUCCUGCUCUGACUUGCUUUCUCCUUCAUACCAUGCAGUACAUUGAAGGGAGGGGAGUAAUUUGGAGCACUUUCAAUUUGGGGAGCUGGGGGAGACAUUUGUGUUUUUAACAAAAACUAAUUAUGUUUGAUAUAUACUACAGAUGUAUAAUGAUAUGAAAGUUUAAAUUGAUUAGACAUCUUGGCAAUUUUGAAACUAGCACAAAAAGCGGCCAAAAUUGAGGACCAGUUUGCAUUUCUAACUUCAUGGUCAGAAUUCAUGUUACAAUUGUAAUGUCAUUGUCGUUGUUUUGCAGGGUGAUGAUGAUGUAUCUGGUCAAAUCAUUGACAGAAAUUCCACUACAAAUCCUUUAUUAUCACAGACAGGGAUAUGCUCCCAAACAGCACAAUACCUCACUAAUUCAGGACUUACAAUAGUAUUUUUCGAGGUCAAACUAGUGAAAAUGUUUUGUAAAAGUCACAACGCAAUUGAACUUUUGUUGAAUGCACUGUAAUUCUUUUGACAUUUGAGAUUUUCUGAUCAAUUUUUGUUGACGGUCUGUUAUCUGUUUCACAUUUUUCAACUCCUCCCCAACCACUAGGCCAAGUUUUAAGUCAACAAAUUUCUUUAGAGGAGAUUCAUUUUUUUUUUUGUGUUUUAGCUCACCUGAGCUGAAAGCUAAGUGAACUUUUCUGAUCAUCGAUUGUCCGUUCAUCUUUCCAUCUGUCUGUCCAUCUAUAAAAUUUUAUAUUUUUGACUUCUUCUCCAGAACCUUGGGUAAAGGGCUUUCAAGUUUGUUCAAACGAAGGGCCAUGCCCCUUUCAAAGGGGAGAUAAUAAAAAAAAUAGGGUGGGGUCUUUCAUUUUAAAAUCUUCUUAAGAACCGUUUGGCCAGAAGAGCUGAAAUUUACAUGAAAGCUGUCUGACAUAGUGUAAUUUCAAGUUUGUUCAAAUCAUGAUCCCGGGGGUAGGAUGGGGCCAUAGUAGGGGAUUAAAGUUGUACAUACAAAUGUAUAGAGAAAAUCUUUAAAAGUCUUCUUCUGAAGAACCAUUAGGCCAGAGAAGUUUACAUUUACAUGAAAGCUUCCUGAUAGAUUGCAGAUUCAAGUUUGUAAAAAUCAUGACCCCCAGGGGUAGGUUGGGCCACAGUAGGGAUCAAAGUUUUACAUGGAAAUGUAUAGGGAAAUUUAAAUAUGGGCCAAGAUGACUCAGGUGAGCGAUGUGGCCCAUGAACCUCUUUUUUUUCAUUUGUUGAUUUGCAGGGUGAUGAUGGAGUGUCUGACCAAACUCUUGACUGAAAUUCCACCAGUUGUACAAAGCCUGUAAAAUCACAGACAGGGACAUAUUCCCCCCGCACAACACAAUUCCUCAUUAAUCCAGGAGUUUAGAUCUGAGAGAUUCUGGUCAAGCUGGAUUGGAUGUACAUUUCUUCCUAGAUUUCAGGACCCACACUAAGGCUAGUCUGCAGGCCCUGACCAUUCAAUCAAAUUCACUGAUGGGCAGUGUAGGUCAGAUAAGUGAUGGACUGUGUUGUGAUGUUAUUGAUGGUAAACAGAACACUGUGACCUUGAAUCUGAAGAUCUCUGAUAAAGAGCAGGUGUACUACAAAUCUAACAGUGUAACGCUCAGCCACAAAGAGGUUGUCUCUGAUGUCCACACAUAAACCGUAUGGACCGCGUAAAUCACAGUGAAUGUAACGGAGGAACUGUCCGUCCUGAUCCAGGAUGUGGAUACGGUGAUUGCCCCAGUCUGCUGUCAGGAUGUGACUCUGGCUGUCUGUAGUGAUGCCGACUGGUUUAAAUGAUUGCUCGGUAUUAGAGGGAUGACCAGUGUAUCUAAAUCGGAGUUUUCCUGACUGAUUGACCACCACUACUGCUUUAGCUGACGUGUCAGCCACACAGAUAUCCAGGUUCCUGUUCUCACUAAUGUAUUUAUCAUAAUAAUCAGAGGAAUAGAGAGGACGACCCUGAUCAUCAAACUGAAUGCUUUGUGUCUCUGUGGAGCCAGAGUAACGCACAACUUUGUAUUGUGUAUGAUCAUCACUGAUCAUGGUAACCAGGAGAUCAUCAGAGGCGGUACUGCAGACAAAGAGAGGUCUCCACCCCUGUAGUGUGAUCAGGGUGUUUAUCUAACAUCAUGUCAACUUUGAGCUGCAAACUACUCAUACGAGUAGUUUUGAAGGGAUCAUAAUGAAUGGUGAUGCGUUGAUGUCCACUGUGACGUGUUGGAUGAAGGGAACCUGAAACGCAUUGCUGUCUGACGCGUUUCAUACCUAUUGUUAGAGUCUCGUGUGGAUCCGGGUUAGAAUAGGUCUUCAGUACCCCCUGCUUGUCGUAAGAGGCAACUAAAUGGGGCAGUCCUUCGGAUGAGACCGCAAAAACCCAGGUCCCGCGUGUCACAGCAGGUGUGGCACGAAUAAUAUCCCUCCAUGCUGAAAGGCCGUAAGCGCCCAGCAUAGGCCUAAAUUUUGCAGUCCUUCACUGGCAAUGGUGAUGUCUCCAUAUGAGUGAAAAAUUAUAGAAUGGGACGUUAAACAAUACGCUACUACAACCAAUUGUUAGAGCGUUCUUUACGUUGUAUACACAAUGAUUUUGACCACGGACUACUCCGUUUACCUGAUCAAGAAAUAGGACUCACGGCGGUUGUGACCGGUCGACAGUGGCUGUUUACUCAUAGGCACCUGAUCCCGCCUCUGGUGUGUUCAGGGCCCGUGUCUGUCCUUUUAAUUUUGUGUUCCUUAUAGGAAUUGUGAGAUAAAUCACUGUUCGUUAUCUUCACUUUGUUCUGGGAAACAUCGGAUUUUUCCUGCAUGUGGGACAGUAUUAUUUAUAUUGUGCUCUGAAUUUGUCUUUUCGAGAAUAAAUGAAUUGUUAUUGCAUUAUCA
Ostrea edulis (European flat oyster) is the source of this 4530-nucleotide long non-coding RNA. RefSeq lists it as uncharacterized. Lineage: Eukaryota; Metazoa; Mollusca; Bivalvia; Ostreida; Ostreidae. The record is from RefSeq and is a predicted model, not a curated record. The transcript is spliced from 7 exons.